UCCCCAUGCAAUGGGCUAAGAGCUAUUUAAAGGGGGUACAGCCCCUUUAAAAAAGGAUACAACCUCCACCAGUGGAUAACCCCACCCCAACCCAACCCCCGUGGGCCUUAAAGCAGCCACCCUUAGAGAACGCGUCAAAGCUCCACAGACUAAAAAAAUCCAAAAACAACGUAAAUCCCUGAACCCAUAACAGGUCAACCUACAAUAGUAGAUGAAUCAAUGCUAAAACGAGUAACCAGGGCACAGUCCCCCAAAGCGCCAACCUAAACACCAUUAACAGCAUAGCCGCAAUACCAAACCCCCGACUAAACAUUGAACAUACCCUGUCAAACCAAACCCAGGAGCGCACACUGGGAUGAUUAAAAUCUGCAGAAGGAACUCGGCAAACCCAAGACCCGACUUGUUUACCAAAAACAUAGCCUUCAGCCAAACAAGUAUUGAAGGUGAUGCCUGCCCAGUGACACACGUUUAACGGCCGCGGUAUCCUAACCGUGCAAAGGUAGCGCAAUCAAUUGUCCCAUAAAUCGAGACCUGUAUGAACGGCUAAACGAGAUCUUAACUGUCUCCUGCAGAUAAUCAGUGAAACUGAUCCCUCUGUACAAAAGCAGAGAUAAACACAUAAGACGAGAAGACCCUGUGGAACUUCAAAAUCAAUAGCCACCAUAUCCAACCCACAAACCCACCAGGCUCACUACCCAAAAACACUGGCUAACAUUUUUAGGUUGGGGCGACCUUGGAGAAAAACAAAUCCUCCAAAAAUAGGGCCAAACCCCCUAACCAAGAGCAACCCCUCAACGUGCCAACAGCACCCAGACCCAGUAAAACUGACUAAUGAACCAAGCUACCCCAGGGAUAACAGCGCAAUCUCCCCCAAGAGCCCCUAUCGACGGGGAGGUUUACGACCUCGAUGUUGGAUCAGGACAUCCUAGUGGUGCAGCCGCUACUAAGGUUCGUUUGUUCAACGAUUAACAGUCCUA
This 977-nucleotide ribosomal RNA is filed under the name Amazona aestiva (blue-fronted amazon). Its description in RNAcentral is "partial 16S ribosomal RNA". It matches the Rfam family "Bacterial large subunit ribosomal RNA", at positions 962 to 2598 of the family's 2925-position model. Lineage: Eukaryota; Metazoa; Chordata; Aves; Psittaciformes; Psittacidae. The record is from RNAcentral.